Anthonomus grandis grandis is the source of this 905-nucleotide long non-coding RNA. RefSeq lists it as uncharacterized. The transcript has 2 exons. Lineage: Eukaryota; Metazoa; Arthropoda; Insecta; Coleoptera; Curculionidae. The record is from RefSeq and is a predicted model, not a curated record.
CGUCGAUUUUUAGCAAGGGAUCUUUUCAUAGUAGCUGGCAAGACGACACCAAGCACACGGAUUCAAGGAAAAACAGUGAAGGUCAUCGUUAUAUCGUGGUCCACGCCGGAACCAAAGAUGGCUUCAUCAAGUGUGCAAAUUUAAUAUUCAAGAGUGGAUUAAAGACGGGAGAUUAUCAUGACAAUAUGAACAGGAAAAACUGGUUUAAAACUCAGCUGGUUCCAAAUCUUCCCCCAAAGUCAUUUAUAAUCAUGGACAAUGCAAGUUACCAUUCUGGUUUGUUAGAAGAAAUCCCGAGAAAAUCUUGGACAAAGCAGAGAUUGACCGAAUGGUUGAAAAAAGAGAAUUUUGGCUUUCCAGAAAAAGCCAUGAAAGAUAGAAUAUGGAGUAUUGCACGCAUAUACUGCCCUAGUGAAAAAAAAGUACUUCCUUGAUGAAUAUGUUAAACUUUUAGGACACCAAAUUUUGCGACUGCCACCAUAUCAUUGCCAGUUUAAUGCAAUUGAAAUGGUAUUGUCGGAAUGUAAACGAAAAUAUGAUCAAUAUAUUUCCAAUUUUAAGGGGUCACCUUCAGAAGUUCUGACUACAUGGGAAAGGGUAAUAAACGAAAGUUCUAUAGAUCAUUGGCAAAAAUAUGUUUUUCAUACAGAAAAGGUAAUUGAAAAGGCUUGGAAGGCAAUACAAGUGUGUGAUGCCUAUGACAUUCUGCCACUUGUGAUUACGACUGACGAUGCUGCUCAAUUUUAUUGCAUCUGCGGCUCGCUCUAUCACAUUCUCAAUUUGAAGUGCAAUGCAAUUUCGGGCUUGUUGUUCAUGUCCCAUUAUCUAUGAUUAAUUAUAAUAAUAUUUGUUAAUUGUUAAGUUUGUUAAUAAUACAAUAAAUAAAUUUAAGUUUUAAAAACUAA